GACGAACGCUGGCGGCGUGCUUAACACAUGCAAGUCGAACGAAGUGGCGAACGGGUGAGUAAUACGUGGGUAACUGCCCUCCUUUUUGGGAUAAGCCUUGGAAACGGGGUCUAAUACCGAAUAAAGGGGGAUGACGCGCGGCCUAUCAGCUUGUUGGUGGGGUGAUGGCCUACAAAGGCGGUGACGGGUAGCCGGCCUGAGAGGGUGACCGGCCACAUUGGGCUGGGAUACGGGCCAGACUCCUACGGGAGGCAGCAGUGGGGAAUAGUGCACAAUGGGGGAAACGCUGAUGCAGCAACGCCGCGUGCGGGAUGACGGCCGUCGGGUUGUAAACCGCUUGCAGCCAUAACGCGGUAGUGACAGAAGAAGCACCGGCUAACUACGUGCCAGCAGCCGCGGUAAUUC
This 405-nucleotide ribosomal RNA is filed under the name uncultured bacterium. Its description in RNAcentral is "partial 16S ribosomal RNA". It matches the Rfam family "Bacterial small subunit ribosomal RNA", at positions 28 to 526 of the family's 1533-position model. The record is from RNAcentral.